This 260-nucleotide long non-coding RNA is filed under the name Homo sapiens (human). Its description in RNAcentral is "non-protein coding lnc-NUF2-6:1". The record is from RNAcentral. Lineage: Eukaryota; Metazoa; Chordata; Mammalia; Primates; Hominidae.
UGGAAUUUAUAGUGUGAGUAGUUGUAUGUGGUUGACUCAUGAGUUAAACCCCUCACAGUCUGAGGAGAAUAUGUUCAAACAAAGCAAACAUCUCAAAGUAAAUGCCAAGCCCGGUGAAGACGUCACAGUCUCGGUCUCAGCCCAAAUCCAGUGGCAGCAGAUACAUUAUGCAUGACCAACAAGAUUUCUUUUUGCUCUUCUAUCUUGGCUGUUGCACAAGCAUAAACCCCAAUGGAACUAAGUAAUCAAAUACAGAUUUG